This 253-nucleotide ribosomal RNA is filed under the name uncultured bacterium. RNAcentral's name for it is "partial 16S ribosomal RNA". It matches the Rfam family "Bacterial small subunit ribosomal RNA", at positions 524 to 776 of the family's 1533-position model. The record is from RNAcentral.
UACGGAGGGUGCAAGCGUUAAUCGGAAUUACUGGGCGUAAAGCGCGCGUAGGCGGUUUUUUAAGUCGGAUGUGAAAGCCCCGGGCUCAACCUGGGAACUGCAUCCGAUACUGGAAGACUAGAAUGCGGGAGAGGGAGGUAGAAUUCCAUGUGUAGCAGUGAAAUGCGUAGAUAUAUGGAGGAAUACCAGUGGCGAAGGCGGCCUCCUGGAUCGACAUUGACGCUGAGGUGCGAAAGCGUGGGGAGCAAACGGG